AUGCAACAAGUUCUGCCAUCACCACCUCACGAGGAAGAACACAAGCAGCAGGUUGCCCCCGAGGUUAUUGUUCCUGUGCCCACAGCUCAAGACGAGAAAAAUGAUUUGGUUGAUAUCUUUCUCGACAACCCUGAUGAAGAAAAUGCACCACCUCAGCAGCAAGACAAUAAUGACCACACUUAUGAGGACAUUGAAGUUGAAAAGCCAAAUCCUUCACCUCCUGUGUCGAUGCAAGUUGAACCUUUAGCCUUCAGCAAGAAUGAUGAGAAGAUUGAGGGGGGGAGCAAUCUGCUCCUCAAGAGAAAACUACCCCAGUUACACCCUCGAUUACUCCCACACCGAUGGAUGCUGACUGUGCUCCUCAUUCCAUAG
RNAcentral lists this ribosomal RNA (372 nucleotides) under Triticum aestivum (bread wheat). RNAcentral describes it as "partial small subunit ribosomal RNA". Lineage: Eukaryota; Viridiplantae; Streptophyta; Magnoliopsida; Poales; Poaceae. The record is from RNAcentral.